AGAGUUUGAUCCUGGCUCAGGACGAACGCUGGCGGCGUGCCUAAUACAUGCAAGUCGAACGCUUCUUUUCUACCGAGUGCUUGCACUCACUUGAAAAGAGGAGUGGCGGACGGGUGAGUAACACGUGGGUAACCUACCCAUCAGAGGGGGAUAACACUUGGAAACAGGUGCUAGUACCGCAUAAUAGUCGACAUCGCAUGGUGUUGAUUUGAAAGACGCUUUCGGGUGUCACUGAUGGAUGGACCCGCGGUGCAUUAGCUAGUUGGUGAGGUAACGGCUCACCAAGGCCAUGAUGCAUAGCCGACCUGAGAGGGUGAUCGGCCACACUGGGACUGAGACACGGCCCAGACUCCUACGGGAGGCAGCAGUAGGGAAUCUUCGGCAAUGGACGAAAGUCUGACCGAGCAACGCCGCGUGAGUGAAGAAGGUUUUCGGAUCGUAAAACUCUGUUGUUAGAGAAGAACAAGUAGGAGAGUAACUGCUCUUACCUUGACGGUAUCUAACCAGAAAGCCACGGCUAACUACGUGCCAGCAGCCGCGGUAAUACGUAGGUGGGCAAGCGUUGUCCGGAUUUAUUGGGCGUAAAGCGAGCGCAGCGGUUUCUUAAGUCUGAUGUGAAAGCCCCCGGGCUCAACCGGGGGAGGGUCAUUGGAAACUGGGAGACUUGAGUGCAGAGAGGAGAGUGGAAUUCCAUGUGUAGCGGUGAAAUGCGUAGAUAUAUGGAGGAACACAGUGGCGAAGCGACUUCUUCUGGUCUGUAACUGACGCUGAGCUUCGAAAGCGUGGGG
This 788-nucleotide ribosomal RNA is filed under the name uncultured bacterium. RNAcentral describes it as "bacterial SSU rRNA". It matches the Rfam family "Bacterial small subunit ribosomal RNA", at positions 8 to 766 of the family's 1533-position model. The record is from RNAcentral.